GAUGAACGCUGGCGGCGUGCCUAACACAUGCAAGUCGAGCGAGAAAUAAAGUUAUUAAUCUUCGGAAGCGUAACUUUAUGGAAAGCGGCGGACGGGUGAGUAACGCGUAGGCAACCUGCCCUAUACAGGGGGAUAGCCACGGGAAACCGUGAUUAAUACCUCAUAAUACCAAAAAGACACAUGUUUUUAUGGUCAAAGAUUUUAUCGGUAUAGGAUGGGCCUGCGUCUGAUUAGUUAGUUGGUGAGGUAACGGCUCACCAAGGCAGCGAUCAGUAGCCGACCUGAGAGGGUAAUCGGCCACAUUGGAACUGAGACACGGUCCAAACUCCUACGGGAGGCAGCAGUGGGGAAUAUUGCACAAUGGGCGCAAGCCUGAUGCAGCAACGCCGCGUGAGCGAAGAAGGCCUUUGGGUCGUAAAGCUCUGUCCUAGGGGAAGAAAAAAAUGACGGUACCCUUGGAGGAAGCCCCGGCUAACUACGUGCCAGCAGCCGCAGUAAAAC
This 501-nucleotide ribosomal RNA is filed under the name uncultured bacterium. Its description in RNAcentral is "bacterial SSU rRNA". It matches the Rfam family "Bacterial small subunit ribosomal RNA", at positions 28 to 526 of the family's 1533-position model. The record is from RNAcentral.